This 417-nucleotide long non-coding RNA is filed under the name Rattus norvegicus (Norway rat). RNAcentral describes it as "long non-coding RNA NONRATT024603". The record is from RNAcentral. Lineage: Eukaryota; Metazoa; Chordata; Mammalia; Rodentia; Muridae.
GCUGUAGGUGGCCUAGAACUCGCCAUGUAAACUGGGGUGUCCUUGAACCCACAGAGACACUCUUUGUUCUUCCUCUGGAGUGCCGAGUGUGUGUGAUGCCCGACAACACUGCUUUCUUCAGUACGUAAGCUGAUAUGACUUCAUGAAAAUGCCUCGUGUAAAAGCAGCUCAGGCUGGAAGACAGGGACCUGCAAAGAGGCGCCUCGCAGAGCAGUUUGCCGCUGGAGAGAUCAUAACCGACAUGUCUAAAAAGGAAUGGAAACUAGGCUUGCCUAUUGGCCAAGGAGGCUUUGGCUGCAUCUAUCUGGCGGACACAAAUUCUUCCAAACCGGUCGGCAGUGAUGCGCCCUGUGUUGUGAAAGUGGAACCCAGUGACAAUGGACCUCUUUUCACUGAAUUAAAGUUCUACCAGAGGGC